This 449-nucleotide ribosomal RNA is filed under the name Bacteroidetes bacterium oral taxon 272. Its description in RNAcentral is "bacterial SSU rRNA". It matches the Rfam family "Bacterial small subunit ribosomal RNA", at positions 28 to 466 of the family's 1533-position model. The record is from RNAcentral. Lineage: Bacteria; Pseudomonadati; Bacteroidota.
GAUGAACGCUAGCUACAGGCUUAACACAUGCAAGUCGUGGGGCAUCAUGAUGUAGUAAUACAUUGAUGGCGACCGGCGCACGGGUGAGUAACGCGUAUCCAACCUACCCUCCACUCAAGUAUAGGCUUCCGAAAGGGAGAUUAAUCCUUGAUAUCGUCAUUCUCUCUCCUGUUAGAAUGAUAAAAGGACAUCGUUUCGGUAGAGGAUGGGGAUGCGUUCCAUUAGGUAGUAGGUGGUUUAACAGGCCACCUAGCCGAUGAUGGAUAGGGGUUCUGAGAGGAAUAUCCCCCACACUGGUACUGAGAUACGGACCAGACUCCUACGGGAGGCAGCAGUGAGGAAUAUUGGUCAAUGGGCGCAAGCCUGAACCAGCCAUGUAGCGUGAAGGAUGACGGUUUUUUUGAUUGUAAACUUCUUUUCUGUGCGAUUAAAGUGUGGCAUUUAUGCCA